This 127-nucleotide ribosomal RNA is filed under the name Mediterraneibacter gnavus. Its description in RNAcentral is "[Ruminococcus] gnavus partial 23S ribosomal RNA". It matches the Rfam family "Bacterial large subunit ribosomal RNA", at positions 2801 to 2925 of the family's 2925-position model. The record is from RNAcentral. Lineage: Bacteria; Bacillati; Bacillota; Clostridia; Lachnospirales; Lachnospiraceae.
AAGAUGAGAUAUCCCAUAACGUCAAGUUAGUAAGACCCCUUGAAGACGACGAGGUAGAUAGGGCAGAGGUGGAAGUGCGGUAACGCAUGGAGCUGACUGUUACUAAUAGGUCGAGGGCAUAACCAAG